UACGGAGGGUGCGAGCGUUAAUCGGAAUUACUGGGCGUAAAGCGCGCGUAGGCGGUUUGAUAAGUCGGGUGUGAAAGCCCCGGGCUUAACCUGGGAAUUGCAUUCGAUACUGUCUGACUCGAGUCUGGGAGAGGGAAGCGGAAUUCCGGGUGUAGCGGUGAAAUGCGUAGAUAUCCGGAGGAACAUCAGUGGCGAAGGCGGCUUCCUGGCCUAAGACUGACGCUGAGGUGCGAAAGCGUGGGGAGCAAACAGG
Molecule: ribosomal RNA, 253 nt
Filed under: uncultured bacterium
Lineage: Bacteria
Description: partial 16S ribosomal RNA
Rfam family: Bacterial small subunit ribosomal RNA
Source: RNAcentral